AUUACCCAAUACUGACACAGUGAGGUAGUGACAAUAAAUAACAAUGCCGGGCCUUUAUAGGUCUGGCAAUUGGAAUGAGAACAAUUCAAAAUACUUAUCGAGGAUCCAUUGGAGGGCAAGUCUGGUGCCAGCAGCCGCGGUAAUUCCAGCUCCAAUAGCGUAUAUUAAAGUUGUUGCAGUUAAAAAGCUCGUAGUUGGAUUUGUGGCGUACGGCAGGCCCCAGGCGCUUGCGUCUGCGUGGCUGGCCGUUGCCAUCCUUGGGUGGAACCUGUGUGGCAUUAGGUUGUCGUGCAGGGGAUGCCCAUCUUUUACUGUGAAAAAAUUAGAGUGUUCAAAGCAGGCUUAUGCCGUUGAAUAUAUUAGCAUGGAAUAAUGAGAUAGGACUUUGUCGCUAUUUUGUUGGUUUGCGCGGUGAGGUAUGAUUAAUAGGGACAGUUGGGGGUAUUCGUAUUCCAUUGUCAGAGGUGAAAUUCUUGGAUUUCUGGAAGACGAACUACUGCGAAAGCAUUUACCAAGGAUGUUUUCAUUAAUCAAGAACGAAAGUUAGGGGAUCGAAGAUGAUUAGAUACCAUCGUAGUCUUAACCAUAAACUAUGCCGAUUAGGGAUUGGUGGGGUCUCGUUACGUCUCCAUCAGCACCUUGUGAGAAAUCAUUAAAUUUUUGGGUUCCGGGGGGAGUAUGGUCGCAAGGCUGAAACUUAAAGAAAUUGACGAAAGGGCACCACCAGGAGUGGAGCCUGCGGCUUAAUUUGACCCAACACGGGAAAACUUACCAGGUCCAGACAUAGUGAGGAUUGACAGAUUGAGAGCUCUUUCUUGAUUCUAUGGGUGGUGGUGCAUGGCCGUUCUUAGUUGGUGGAGUGGUUUGUCUGGUUAAUUCCGUUAACGAACGAGACCGCUGCCUGCUAAAUAGCCCAGUGAGUGAAUUUUCACUGACUGCUGGCUUCUUAGAGGGACGUGCAUUCUAUUAGAUGCAGGAAGAUAGCGGCAAUAACAGGUCUGUGAUGCCCUUAGAUGUCCUGGGCCGCACGCGCGCUACACUGAUGCACUCAACGAGUUCCUACCUUGGCCGAGAGGCCUGGGCAAUCUUUUUAAUGUGCAUCGUGAUAGGGAUAGAUUAUUGCAAUUUUUAAUCUUGAACGAGGAAUUCCUAGUAAACGCAGAUCAUCAAUCUGCAUUGAUUACGUCCCUGCCCUUUGUACACACCGCCCGUCGCACCUACCGAUUGAAUGGUCCGGUGAAGCCUCGGGAUUGUGGCCAGUUUCCUUUAUUGGGAGUUGGUUGCGAGAACCUGUCUAAACCUUAUCAUUUAGAGGAAGCUGAAGUC
Molecule: ribosomal RNA, 1326 nt
Filed under: metagenome
Description: SSU rRNA
Rfam family: Eukaryotic small subunit ribosomal RNA
Source: RNAcentral